AGUCCUUUGUCAAACAAGAGAGGCAAGGGAUAAAAAAAGAAAAAAGAAAAAAAGAAAAAAAAAAAAGCUUUAAGACUUAGCAGUGGGUAAAAAAGAAGAGAUCUGUGAACAUUUUCUAGCUCUCCAGAGCAGAAGGUUUUGGUCCGUUUUGCUUUCAGGCGCUCCUUACCAGAGUCCGCGGUUAAAAGCCAAUGCCUUUUUGGAAGCUUUUCCUUACAGAUGAGAUAUAAAACCAACGCCUGCCUAACCACUUAUGUACAUUAAUGAUCCCACAGUGCUCUACAAAAGAGGAAAAAUAUUAACCCAGGCAUCAUAAUAAUAUUCUGCUUACUUAUAAGCCCCA
Molecule: long non-coding RNA, 343 nt
Filed under: Anas platyrhynchos platyrhynchos (common mallard)
Lineage: Eukaryota; Metazoa; Chordata; Aves; Anseriformes; Anatidae
Description: lncRNA (ENSAPLG00000021791.1)
Source: RNAcentral